This is a long non-coding RNA of Oncorhynchus keta (chum salmon), 951 nucleotides long. RefSeq lists it as uncharacterized. Lineage: Eukaryota; Metazoa; Chordata; Actinopteri; Salmoniformes; Salmonidae. The record is from RefSeq and is a predicted model, not a curated record. The transcript is spliced from 7 exons.
GAUAAAUAACUUUGUGUGGUGAUAUGUUACAGGUCCUUGAGGGAGAUGGAGGGAUAAAUAACUUUGUGUGGUGAUAUGUUACAGGUCCUUGAGGGAGAUGGAGGGAUAAAUAACUUUGUGUGGUGAUAUGUUACAGGUCCUUGAGGGAGAUGGAGGGAUAAAUAACUUUGUGUGGUGAUAUGUUACAGGUCCUUGAGGGAGAUGGAGGGAUAAAUAACUUUGUGUGGUGAUAUGUUACAGGUCCUUGAGGGAGAUGGAGGGAUACAUAACUUUGUGUGGUGAUAUGUUACAGGUCCUUGAGGGAGAUGGAGGGAUAAAUAACUUUGUGUGGUGAUAUGUUACAGGUCCUUGAGGGAGAUGGAGGGAUAAAUAACUUUGUGUGGUGAUAUGUUACAGGUCCUUGAGGGAGAUGGAGGGAUAAAUAACUUUGUGUGGUGAUAUGUUACAGGUCCUUGAGGGAGAUGGAGGGAUAAAUAACUUUGUGUGGUGAUAUGUUACAGGUCCUUGAGGGAGAUGGAGGGAUAAAUAACUUUGUGUGGUGAUAUGUUACAGGUCCUUGAGGGAGAUGGAGGGAUAAAUAACUUUGUGUGGUGAUAUGUUACAGGUCCUUGAGGGAGAUGGAGGGAUAAAUAACUUUGUGUGGUGAUAUGUUACAGGUCCUUGAGGGAGAUGGAGGGAUAAAUAACUUUGUGUGGUGAUAUGUUACAGGUCCUUGAGGGAGAUGGAGGGAUAAAUAACUUUGUGUGGUGAUAUGUUACAGGUCCUUGAGGGAGAUGGAGGGAUAAAUAACUUUGUGUGGUGAUAUGUUACAGGUCCUUGAGGGAGAUGGAGGGAUAAAUAACUUUGUGUGGUGAUAUGUUACAGGUCCUUGAGGGAGAUGGAGGGAUAAAUAACUUUGUGUGGUGAUAUGUUACAGGUCCUUGAGGGAGAUGAAGGGAUAAAUAACUUUGU